This 429-nucleotide ribosomal RNA is filed under the name Actinomycetes bacterium. RNAcentral's name for it is "Actinobacteria bacterium partial 16S ribosomal RNA". It matches the Rfam family "Bacterial small subunit ribosomal RNA", at positions 355 to 776 of the family's 1533-position model. Lineage: Bacteria; Bacillati; Actinomycetota; Actinomycetes. The record is from RNAcentral.
UAGGGAAUCUUCCGCAAUGGGCGAAAGCCUGACGGAGCAACGCCGCGUGAGUGAUGAAGGUCUUCGGAUCGUAAAACUCUGUUAUUAGGGAAGAACAAAUGUGUAAGUAACUAUGCACGUCUUGACGGUACCUAAUCAGAAAGCCACGGCUAACUACGUGCCAGCAGCUGCGGUAAUACGCAGGUGGCAAGCGUUAUCCGGAAUUAUUGGGCGUAAAGCGCGCGUAGGCGGUUUUUUAAGUCUGAUGUGAAAGCCCACGGCUCAACCGUGGAGGGUCAUUGGAAACUGGAAAACUUGAGUGCAGAAGAGGAAAGUGGAAUUCCAUGUGUAGCGGUGAAAUGCGCAGAGAUAUGGGGGAACACCAGUGGCGAAGGCGACUUUCUGGUCUGUAACUGACGCUGAUGUGCGAAAGCGUGGGGAUCAAACAGG